UACAGAGGGGGCAAGCGUUGUUCGGAAUUACUGGGCGUAAAGGGCGCGUAGGCGGCCUCUUAAGUCGAACGUGAAAUCCCCGGGCUCAACCCGGGAACUGCGUCCGAUACUGGGGGGCUUGAAUCCGGGAGAGGGAUGUGGAAUUCCAGGUGUAGCGGUGAAAUGCGUAGAUAUCUGGAGGAACACCGGUGGCGAAGGCGGCAUCCUGGACCGGUAUUGGCGCUGAGGCGCGAAAGCCAGGGGAGCAAACGGG
Molecule: ribosomal RNA, 253 nt
Filed under: uncultured bacterium
Lineage: Bacteria
Description: partial 16S ribosomal RNA
Rfam family: Bacterial small subunit ribosomal RNA
Source: RNAcentral